RNAcentral lists this unclassified non-coding RNA (171 nucleotides) under Aspergillus nomiae. RNAcentral's name for it is "Aspergillus nomius miscellaneous RNA". The record is from RNAcentral. Lineage: Eukaryota; Fungi; Ascomycota; Eurotiomycetes; Eurotiales; Aspergillaceae.
GCUGCCCAUCAAGCACGGCUUGUGUGUUGGGUCGUCGUCCCCUCUUCGGGGGGGACGGGCCCUAAAGGCAGCGGCGGCACCGCGUCCGAUCCUCGAGCGUAUGGGGCUUUGUCACCCGCUCUGUAGGCCCGGCCGGCGCUUGCCGAACGCAAAACAACCAUUCUUUCCAGG